RNAcentral lists this long non-coding RNA (3655 nucleotides) under Elaeis guineensis (African oil palm). RNAcentral describes it as "long non-coding RNA (EGUI_LNC069264)". The record is from RNAcentral. Lineage: Eukaryota; Viridiplantae; Streptophyta; Magnoliopsida; Arecales; Arecaceae.
GACAGAUAAUUCCAACAUUCUAGGUUAAAGCACGAAAUAGCUCUACUUCGGAGGAUCGACGUAAUUCAUUUAAUAUAAAAUCUUCCUCUUCCAUAACGCUCUCUCUUUCUCUUCUCUUUGAUGAUAUUGAUUUCAGUCUCAGUUCCUCAGCCCAUGCUCGACCAAUCUCAAGAUCGAGGUUUUUUCGAUAGGUAGAGGGCUUGGUAGGAGCGAAGCGAGAAGACGUUUAGCCAGGUAGCUCUAUUGACAAGUAGCGUGGGCAAGCUUCACUUCAAGACAGGACUGAAAUUAGUACGACUAGCUUCCUUUCUAGCUCGACCAAUACAAUAGGGGACCGAGUGGAACUAGGAAGCUUUGAGUAAGACGUGUAGGGUCUUUGUAAUUGAGCUUUCAUGCUUUACUGAGAAGGAGAGGAAACCGAAAGCCUCAAUCCUUAAAUUAAAGCAAGUCCUUGAAAGCUGGAGAGGAAGUAAGACUGGUAGUGAGAAGGGAUACGCGUAACUUGGAUACUCAAUUAAUAAGUGGUACCGAGUGCCAAGUGGAGGAACGAACUAACCCAAUUGCCUUUUUACGGAUCGAUGGAAUUGAAAGAGUUAAGUUGAUGGUUCUAAAUGCUCUACUGAGCUGAGUUCUUGAGGGAAUGAGACUGAAAGUGUAGGGGGAAAGGGGCUACGCGUUGAAAGAGAAAUCUGAGAGAAAGAGAUCGGCCUUCGGACUCUUCCUAAAUUCCUUCUUUAUCGUUCUCUAGUACUAUCGCUAUCGCUCCGUAAACAACACUCUUAUGUAGUCAACUACACUCGUAUCGCACAGGCUACACAAGCGAGCUACGUAUAUAGUAGAAGCGAGUACACUUGCCAGGCCAGAGAUUUCAUAACCUGGAGAGCUGAGUUAAGAAUGCUAAUGCUUUGGUUCUUUCCUUUAUAGAGAGAUAUGGAGUUCUGGCAUAGAACUUACUAAGAAUAAGGGGGAAUUCUUGUAAGUUCUUUUGGCUUAUGGGGGCCUGAGACUCGAAACGACUCGGGGGAAUACAACUAGUAAACACUACUAAACUGGGAAGAAAAACAUCUUGCUUGAAAGACUCUCAUCUGCAACCGCAUUCACUCGUAUCCAUAUCCAUCUAGGGAUGGAAACUGAAAUGCCUUAUCCAGAGACUUACACGUCCGGAGGCUUACGCGGCUUAUCCAGAAGCAAGGCAAGCUCAGCUCACUCUAUCCCCAUAAUAAGCAAGCUCAAGGCUAGGAUGAGGAUAAAUUAACUAAGCUAAGGAAUUGACUAUUGCUAUGUAAUAUUAACUGGUUAUAAUUACACUCGCUAUUCCUAAGAAAGGCAGUCUAGAAUAGAUUCUAUAUAAAGGGCUUGUACUGGACUAUAAGUAGAAGGUUUCUCGCCUGGAAUUGGCUGGGGGAUUUUAUUAAGGCAGGGCGGCCUACACAAGAGAUUAGGGCUCAUGAACGUAGAGCUUUCCCGGCUUGAGAGGAAUUCUUUCACGUGUAAAGAGAGUCUUUCUUUUCGGGCUAUUUUAGUUCCCUUUUUGGCCAUGGGAGAUCCUGUGCCAGUCCCUUAUGCAAAUAGGUAUUUUUCAUAUAGUAUACACUAUGAAAAUUCGAUUUCUAAAGUAAGCCCUUCCCUUCGUACUUUUCUGGGAACACUGCUUGUUAAGCUCUUGCGCUUGUGUAAUCUCCUGCGAUUGGAAGUGCUUGUAUCAAGCCAGUGAGAAAACCUGAGUAUUUGAAGGCAGCGAGAAAGCCUAGUUUGUCAGUGAGAAGAAAGCCAGUAACCUCUUUUUCUUCCCUUAGGCAAGUUCCUGAGGAAUAUGUAUCUAAUAGUAUAGUGGGUGGAUAGCGGGCAUACCUUUCAUAACGUGUCUACCUGUACUCUUUAGAAAUAAUAAGUACUCCUCCCCUUACUAUCUACUUUCUUUGCUUUGCUAAAAGAAUAGACUGAUUGAUUAUCGGUACAAGUCCUACAAGUAGCCCUUUCUAGCCUCCAUCAAGUUCCUGUUGGGAAAAGAAAUCCCCUUUCCUAUCUGGCGCCCAAAAGGCUUCCGGUUCUUUGAUCAACCGCCACCCCUGGCGUGCCAACAUAGCUAAGUUAAAGCACUCAAAUUCUCUCAAUUAGCUUGACCCAAUUCCUUCCAAUUUAUCCAAUGAAGCCUGUUGAGGGAAUUCCAUUCUCCCAGGUCUUCUUUCUAGACCAGCAGUGAAACCGAUUCUUGCCCUACGGAUGAAGGCCCGAGUUUACGAGGUGAAGCACUAGCACUCGGAAAGACCAAUCGAAAAGAAAGAACAUCUACUGAACCUCUUUCUUUAGUAGCGAGAACAUUGACUCACGCAGAGGCCACUCUCUCAUCUACGCCAUUUUUCGAUCUUUCUUUGAAGGUGUGAGUGUGAAGCCAACUCAAAAAGUGGGUCUGUUCAAGUAGAAGAAACAUGCCAAGAUGAAAGAAGACGGAGCUAAACCCCUAUCUUAAGCAAAGAGGCACGAACACAACGCUAUCAAAAAAUGUCCCGCCCUUCCGUCAGAGAAGAGAAUGAAAUCCGGGAUCAAAGAAAGGAGAUUAGGGGAUGAGUUCGCACCCACCUUCUCUCUCUCUCAUGGAGUAGCGAUCAGAGUGACUAAUUUGCAAGGAAGUAUUAAGCCAAGCCCAAUCUCUUAUGUACUCGCAAGUAAAGGAUAGUACCCUUUCGGGGAGUAGAGAUCCCGACAGUCAGCGAGAGCAGCUGCAAAAGGAAAGUCAACGGCAUUUUUGGGGACUAGUUUAAGGAAACCGGCAUAGAAUGGAAUGUGUGAAGUAUAUAGCUAGCCUGACAGUUCAAUCAGAGUUAUUGACAGGUCGGGUUCCUUUCAAAAAGAGGCUUCGUAGCUGACGCCAAGCACAAUUUCUUUCGACUGAUUCCUUUUCUAUUAUCCAAUCUUGAGUUUGAACAUCUGCUCACUCGGCGGUAUGGUGAGGUCAUCAGAGGCCAGCCUUCAGCCAAAGAGGCACAACAGCGCAGCGAAAUGAGAUGGAAGGGCUCGAAAGCAAGAAACGGUUCCGAAGUGAAGCCCUUUUACCCAGUGCUAUCUAUGUUAGGGGACUGGUGGAAUGAAACCAUAUCUCAUAUCUCAUAGGUUUUUUAGGGAAGAACUCGUUCCAGUACCGCUACCGCUUCGAGUGCGAGAAGGAAGCCUAAUGAAGAAGAUUACUCGUCUGGGAAAACCUGAUCUGGUAGGGAAGACAGACCUUAGAUGGCGAAGCUACUGACUAUUGGUAUUGGUUUCAGUGUCAGCAAAGUCAGGGGAGAAGGAAUCAGGAACGAACGCAGCACUGACGCUCUUUAUUUUGUAGGGAGCAGAGUAACCAAGCCCAAGGGCAAGGGCCCCAACAUUCAAAACAGAGGAUUUUUUAUCCAACUAAAGGGAUUUUGAAAAGCUCAGCCAUAGCAUCGUGAGAGGCAAGCAGGUGAAGUAUGUCACGAGCAAGCUACUCACUUUCGACUUCCGUAAAUCAGAGAUUGGACCAUCUGGAUUGUUAUGGAUAGGCGAAUUCACCCAGGGAUGCCAGCACUUCAUCAUCUUCCGUUGAGGGUCGGAGUUGAAAGAAAAGAAAAUGAGAGCAUUGAUUCGCCGUAGAUUCGAUCUCUCCUUUCUUCUUUAGAAAACGAUCUCAUCGNNN